This is a non-coding RNA of Nelumbo nucifera (sacred lotus), 329 nucleotides long. Lineage: Eukaryota; Viridiplantae; Streptophyta; Magnoliopsida; Proteales; Nelumbonaceae. The record is from RefSeq and is a predicted model, not a curated record.
CCUAUUGAAUCAUCGCUGACAACAAUGAUUUCUCUUCGAUGUCACCUCGUCACCCUUGUGCUUCUUCAAGUGAUCCUAUCCUCUUGCUCUCUCACCCUGUUAAAUCUGAUGUUCCAAGCAUAUGGGAUCUCUUUAUCUUCGGUAGCUGCAUUGCAAGUCUGAGUUUGCCGAUUAAUGGGAUUUUUCUGAUGAAUAACAUUCGUUUGGUUGGGAGGACAAUCCUGAUACCUGGUUCUCCUAAAACGUUGCAAAUAUUCAUUUGAUUGGGUAUCAUGUUCUGUAGUGUUACUGAUUCAUGAUUCAAAGAACUGGUUUUGAGAUUUUUUUCA